RNAcentral lists this long non-coding RNA (1236 nucleotides) under Papio anubis (olive baboon). RNAcentral describes it as "lncRNA (ENSPANG00000041575.1)". Lineage: Eukaryota; Metazoa; Chordata; Mammalia; Primates; Cercopithecidae. The record is from RNAcentral.
UACUUGUUUCAUGGGGUCUUAGUCCUUCUUAGUCCUUGAGAUGGGCAACAUUUUGUGCUAUUGGUUUGCUUUUUUGUUGUUGUUUUGUUUUUAAUUUUUAUUUUUGUGGGUACAUAGUCGGUGUACAUAUUUAUGGUGUACAUGAGGUAUUUUGAUAAGGCAUAAUAAUCACACCAGGGCACAUGGCGUAUCCAUCACCUCAAGUGGUGUUGAUUUUCUUCCAAUGUUGUGUGUUUGGGGUUGUCUACUCGUAUUUGUAUCUGACAAUUUCUUUACAUCUUUCUAUUACGUUUACUUGAGUCUAAACUGGUAACUGAAAGAUGAGACUCGGGUCCUGUGCCAGAGAGAUCCUGCCCUUUCUGUGACCAGCAAUUACCUGGGGAAUCCUCUUGGUCUCUGCUCCAGUUCUGGGUGUGUGUUAUAACCAGAGGGUGACUCCAGCUCCGCGUGUGUGUUAUAACCAGAGGGUGACUCCAGCUCUGCGUGUGUGUUAUAACCAGAGGGUGACUCCAGCUCUGCGUGUGUGUUACAUCCAGAGGGUGACUCCAGCUCCGCGCAUGUGUUAUAACCAGAAGGUGACUCCAGUUCUGCGUGUGUGUUAUAACCAGAGGGUGACUCCAGUUCGCGUGUGUGUUACAACCAGAGGUGACUCAUCUCAGCGUGUGUGUUAUAUAACCAGAGGUGACUCCAGCUCUGCGUGUGUUACAUCCAGAGGGUGACUCCAGCUCUGCGUGUGUGUUACAACCAGAGGGUGACUCCAGUUCCGCGUGUGUUAUAACCAGAGGGUGACUCCAGUUCGCGUGUGUUAUAACCAGAGGGUGACUCCAGUUCCGCGUGUGUUAUAACCAGAGGGUGACUCCAGUUCCGCGUGUGUUAUAACCAGAGGGUGACUCCAGUUCCACGUGUGUUACCAGCAGAGGUGACUCCCAGCUCGGCGUGGUGUGUUAUAACCAGAGGGUGACUCCAGUUCCGCGUGUGUUAUAACCAGAGGGUGACUGCACCGCUAUUUGCUGCUUGGCGUGAAUGCUUUUACCAGUGCUCACUUGUAUCCUUUUCCAUGUAAGUCAGAUGACCCAGAUUCUCUAAAUUUAGCUCCCCCUUAAUCAAGAUACAUUUGCUGUGCUCCUUCCCACUACUUUCAGCCAUCGAUUCUGGACCUUCAGUUACUCACACACCAGCACUAGCUUUAAAAAUAGCUUUCUUCCGCCAGGCGCCGUGGCUCACGCCUGUAAUCCC